GUCUCUGUUGCACAAUGAAUAGCGCGUUGGACUUCGAUUCCAAAGGUCGUGGGUUCGAAUCCCUCCUGGGAUG
RNAcentral lists this transfer RNA (73 nucleotides) under Trichonephila inaurata madagascariensis. It matches the Rfam family "tRNA". Rfam says of the family: Transfer RNA (tRNA) molecules are approximately 80 nucleotides in length. Their secondary structure includes four short double-helical elements and three loops (D, anti-codon, and T loops). Lineage: Eukaryota; Metazoa; Arthropoda; Arachnida; Araneae; Nephilidae. The record is from Rfam by way of RNAcentral.